Molecule: ribosomal RNA, 468 nt
Filed under: uncultured bacterium
Lineage: Bacteria
Description: bacterial SSU rRNA
Rfam family: Bacterial small subunit ribosomal RNA
Source: RNAcentral
UAAGGAAUAUUGGUCAAUGGAGGCAACUCUGAACCAGCCAUGCCGCGUGCAGGAAGAAGGCCCUAUGGGUCGUAAACUGCUUUUUGAACAAGAGAAAACCCCGGUACGUGUACUGGGUUGAUAGUAUUGUUAGAAUAAGCAUCGGCUAACUUCGUGCCAGCAGCCGCGGUAAGACGAAGGAUGCAAGCGUUAUCCGGAUUCAUUGGGUUUAAAGGGUGCGUAGGCGGACUGAUAAGUCAGUGGUGAAAUUUCUCGGCUUAACCGAGAAACUGCCAUUGAUACUGUUAGUCUAGAGUACAGAUGAUGUGGGCGGAAUAUGACAUGUAGUGGUGAAAUACUUAGAUAUGUCAUAGAACACCGAUUGCGAAGGCAGCUCACAAAACUGUAACUGACGCUGAGGCACGAAAGUGCGGGGAUCAAACAGGAUUAGAUACCCCGGUAGUCCCUGAGCGGGCUGGCAAGGCGCAU